AAGGAAUAUUGGACAAUGGGCGGAAGCCUGAUCCAGCCAUGCCGCGUGAAGGAAGAAUGCGCUCAGCGUUGUAAACUUCUUUUGAAUGGGAACAAUAAUCCCGACGUGUCGGGACUUGAGGGUACCAUUAGAAUAAGCACCGGCUAACUCCGUGCCAGCAGCCGCGGUAAUACGGAGGGUGCAAGCGUUAUCCGGAAUCACUGGGUUUAAAGGGUGCGUAGGCGGUUUGAUAAGUCAGUUGUGAAAUUAACCGGCUUAACCGGUAGAACUGCGAUUGAUACUGUCAGACUUGAAUCAGGUUGAGGUAGGCGGAAUGUGGCAUGUAGCGGUGAAAUGCAUAGAUAUGCCAUAGAACACCGAUUGCGAGGGCAGCUUGCUGGACCUAGAUUGACGCUGAGGCACGAAAGCGUGGGGAGCAAAC
Molecule: ribosomal RNA, 421 nt
Filed under: uncultured bacterium
Lineage: Bacteria
Description: bacterial SSU rRNA
Rfam family: Bacterial small subunit ribosomal RNA
Source: RNAcentral